GGGUUGUGAGGUUAAGCGACUAAGCGUACACGGUGGAUGCCCUGGCAGUCAGAGGCGAUGAAGGACGUGCUAAUCUGCGAAAAGCGUCGGUAAGGUGAUAUGAACCGUUAUAGCCGGCGAUGUCCGAAUGGGGAAACCCAGUGCAAUUCGUUGCACUAUCGUUAACUGAAUACAUAGGUUAACGAGGCGAACCGGGGGAACUGAAACAUCUAAGUACCCCGAGGAAAAGAAAUCAACCGAGAUUCCCCCAGUAGCGGCGAGCGAACGGGGAGCAGCCCAGAGUCUGAAUCAGCUUGUGUGUUAGUGGAACGGUCUGGAAAGUCCGACGGUACAGGGUGAUAGUCCCGUACACCAAAAUGCACAGGCUGUGAACUCGAAGAGUAGGGCGGGACACGUGGUAUCCUGUCUGAAUAUGGGGGGACCAUCCUCCAAGGCUAAAUACUCCUGACUGACCGAUAGUGAACCAGUACCGUGAGGGAAAGGCGAAAAGAACCCCGGCGAGGGGAGUGAAAAAGAACCUGAAACCGUGUACGUACAAGCAGUGGGAGCACCUUCGGGUGUGACUGCGUACCUUUUGUAUAAUGGGUCAGCGACUUAUAUUCUGUAGCAAGGUUAACCGUAUAGGGGAGCCGCAGGGAAACCGAGUCUUAACUGGGCGUUAAGUUGCAGGGUAUAGACCCGAAACCCGGUGAUCUAGCCAUGGGCAGGUUGAAGGUUGGGUAACACUAACUGGAGGACCGAACCGACUAAUGUUGAAAAAUUAGCGGAUGACUUGUGGCUGGGGGUGAAAGGCCAAUCAAACCGGGAGAUAGCUGGUUCUCCCCGAAAGCUAUUUAGGUAGCGCCUCGUGAA
RNAcentral lists this ribosomal RNA (852 nucleotides) under Klebsiella pneumoniae. Its description in RNAcentral is "partial 23S ribosomal RNA". It matches the Rfam family "Bacterial large subunit ribosomal RNA", at positions 1 to 888 of the family's 2925-position model. The record is from RNAcentral. Lineage: Bacteria; Pseudomonadati; Pseudomonadota; Gammaproteobacteria; Enterobacterales; Enterobacteriaceae. RNAcentral also lists the same sequence under 1 other name.